RNAcentral lists this small RNA (79 nucleotides) under Sinorhizobium meliloti 2011. RNAcentral describes it as "putative ncRNA". The record is from RNAcentral. Lineage: Bacteria; Pseudomonadati; Pseudomonadota; Alphaproteobacteria; Hyphomicrobiales; Rhizobiaceae.
AGGGCGCGAUAUCGACGCCGCCCUGGCUCAUAGAGAACCAUUUUGGCUCGGUGUUUCCAUCGUAGGGCGCACCAGCCUU